This 207-nucleotide ribosomal RNA is filed under the name uncultured bacterium. Its description in RNAcentral is "partial 16S ribosomal RNA". It matches the Rfam family "Bacterial small subunit ribosomal RNA", at positions 568 to 774 of the family's 1533-position model. The record is from RNAcentral.
UGUGUAGGCGGUUGGAUAAGAGUGGUGUGAAAUCUCCCGGCUUAACUGGGAGGGUGCGCUACAGACUGUCUGACUAGAGUGUGGGAUGGGAGAGUGGAAUUCCUGGUGUAGCGGUGAAAUGCGUAGAUAUCAGGAGGAACACCGGUGGUGUAGACGGCUCUCUGGACCGUAACUGACGCUGAGACACGAAAGCGUGGGUAGCAAACA